Pelobates cultripes (western spadefoot toad) is the source of this 217-nucleotide non-coding RNA. The record is from the annotation of a GenBank genome assembly. NCBI's taxonomy places the organism in Eukaryota, Metazoa, Chordata, Amphibia, Anura, Pelobatidae.
CACACCUCCCUGCAUGUGACUUGCACAGCCUUCCAUAAACACUUCCUGUAAAGAGAGCCCUAUUUAGGCUUUCUUUAUUGCAAGUUCUGUUUAAUUAAGAUUUUCUUAAUUAAUAGCUUGCUAGACUAUGUUAAUAGCUUGCUAGACCCUGCAAGAGCCUCCUGUAUGUGAUUAAAGUUCAAUUUAGAGAUUGAGAUACAAUUAUUGAAGGUAAAUU